UCCUGGUGCACACGUGAUGAGAGGGCAGGCCAUGAGUGAGGACGGCUCGUCGAGGGAUUUGGUGACGCCACUGAUCAAUUUCCACGUGAUGUGAUUAUGUUAAGGUACUAGAAGGUAAGAAGAACCCUUGGAUCCAACCAAAUCACAUACAAAUAUAGAAAAUUAAUAAUAGUUGUUAAGCAUGUAAAUGUAAAAGAUUGUAAAUAAUGGAGUUUCGCAAUUGUAUUCCAAAUGGGUUGUAAUUGAAUAAUAUGACCAUAUACAUUAAUUAUAUGAAUUGUAUUUUUAAUACGUUUGUGGAAUAAAGUUAUUAGACCUGAA
Jatropha curcas is the source of this 321-nucleotide non-coding RNA. The record is from RefSeq and is a predicted model, not a curated record. Lineage: Eukaryota; Viridiplantae; Streptophyta; Magnoliopsida; Malpighiales; Euphorbiaceae.